GUGAGGAAUAUUGGUCAAUGGACGGAAGUCUGAACCAGCCAUGCCGCGUGAAGGAUGAAGGCGUUCUGCGUUGUAAACUUCUUUUAUUAGAGAAGAAAUCACUUUUUUCUAAGAGUGUUGACGGUAUCUAAUGAAUAAGCACCGGCUAACUCCGUGCCAGCAGCCGCGGUAAUACGGAGGGUGCAAGCGUUAUCCGGAUUUACUGGGUUUAAAGGGUGCGUAGGCGGACUUUUAAGUCAGGGGUGAAAUCCCGAGGCUCAACCUCGGAACUGCCUUUGAUACUAUUAGUCUUGAAUUAUGUUGAGGUUGGCGGAAUAUAACAUGUAGCGGUGAAAUGCUUAGAUAUGUUAUGGAACACCGAUUGCGAAGGCAGCUGGCUAAACAUAUAUUGACGCUGAUGCACGAAAGUGUGGGUAGCGAACAGGAUUAGAUACCCUUGUAGUCC
This 445-nucleotide ribosomal RNA is filed under the name uncultured bacterium. RNAcentral describes it as "partial 16S ribosomal RNA". It matches the Rfam family "Bacterial small subunit ribosomal RNA", at positions 354 to 796 of the family's 1533-position model. The record is from RNAcentral.